GCUCAGUAACACGUGGAGAACGUGCCCUUAAGUGGGGGAUAAUCUCGGGAAAUUGAGGAUAAUACCCCAUAGGUCAUGGGAUCUGGAAUGACCCAUGGCUGAAAGUUCCGGCGCUUAAGGAUCGCUCUGCGGCCUAUCAGGUAGUAGUGGGUGUAACGUACCCCCUAGCCUACGACGGGUAUGGGCCUUGAGAGAGGGAGCCCAGAGUUGGAUUCUGAGACACGAAUCCAGGCCCUACGGGGCGCAGCAGUCGCGAAAACUUCACACUGGGGGGAACCCCGAUGAGGGAAUUCCUAGUGCUUGGGCAUUUGUCCAAGCUUUUCCCGAGCGUAGAUAACUCGGGGAAUAAGGGCUGGGUAAGACGGGUGCCAGCCGCCGCGGUAAUACCUGCAGCCCGAGUGGUGGUCGAUUUUAUUGAGUCUAAAGCGUUCGUAGCCGGUCCGUUAAAUCCUUGGGUAAAUCGGGAAGCUCAACUUUCCGACUUCCGAGGAGACUGGCGGACUUGGGACCGGGAGAGGCCAGAGGUACUUCUGGGGUAGGGGUAAAAUCCUGUAAUCCUAGAAGGACCACCGGUGGCGAAGGCGUCUGGCUAGAACGGAUCCGACGGUGAGGGACGAAGCCCUGGGUCGCAAACGGGAUUAGAUACCCCGGUAGUCCAGGGUGUAAACGCUGCCGACUUGGUGUUGGGGGCCCUUCGGGGGAACUCAGUGCCGGAGAGAAGUUGUUAAGUCGGCCACUUGGGGAGUACGUCCGCAAGGAUGAAACUUAAAGGAAUUGGCGGGGGAGCACCGCAACGGGAGGAGCGUGCGGUUUAAUUGGAUUCAACACCGGAAAACUCACCAAGGGCGACUGUUACAUGAAAGCCAGGCUAAUGACCUUGCUUGAUUUUCAGAGAGGUGGUGCAUGGCCGUCGUCAGUUCGUACCGUAAGGCGUUCUCUUAAGUGAGAUAACGAACGAGACCCUCACCGAUAAUUGCCAGUCCGAUCCCCGGAUCGGGCGCACAUUAUAGGGACCGCUGGCGCUAAGUCAGAGGAAGGAGUGGACGACGGUA
RNAcentral lists this ribosomal RNA (1052 nucleotides) under uncultured archaeon. RNAcentral describes it as "bacterial SSU rRNA". It matches the Rfam family "Archaeal small subunit ribosomal RNA", at positions 88 to 1143 of the family's 1478-position model. The record is from RNAcentral.